Molecule: small RNA, 725 nt
Filed under: Pan troglodytes (chimpanzee)
Lineage: Eukaryota; Metazoa; Chordata; Mammalia; Primates; Hominidae
Description: retained intron
Source: RNAcentral
CUCCUCCUCCUCCUCAUCCUCUUUCUGCUCCUCCUCCUUGAAAAGAGCCAGAACUGGGAACUACACCCGCUCAUCGACGGAGCUCGGAGCAAACCCACCUCCACCCCCACCAUACCCAGCCCAUACAUGAGCCCCUGGGCUGAGCUGCGCGGCCCCGGCCAGGCAGACAGGCAGGGCACUGCUGUGCACAAUGCAGCGGUUUAGCUGAAUGUGAUUGCUCAGGCAGCUAGCCAGUCAGGCCCCACUGCGGAGUCCCGCGUGGGCAUCUCGGCCGGGCGCCCAGCCAGGAGCCAGCCGGUGGCCCACCAGCCAGCAUGGGCCCUGGGCGCCGCUAGUUAAAUCUUGAGCUCUGUUUGACCAAGCGGCCAAGGUUUCGGUCUAAGUACCACCCAGAUGAGGUGGGGAAGCGUCGGCAGGAGGCCCGGGGGGCCCUGCAAAACCGACUGAGGGUCUUCCUGUCCCUCAUGGAGACUGGCUGGUUUGAUAACCUUCUCCUGGACAUAGACAAAGCUGAUGCCAUUGUCAAGAUGCUGGAUGCAGCCGUGAUUAAGAUGGAAGGAGGCACGGAGAAUGAUCUCCGCAUCCUGGAGCAGGAGGAGGAGGAGGAACAGGCAGGAAAGCCUGGGGAGCCCAGCAAGAAAGAAGAAGGACGGGCUGGAGCAGGCCUGGGGGACGGGGAGCGCAAAACCAACGACAAGGAUGAGAAGAAGGAAGAUGGCAAGCAG